UGGCAUUACUGGAGGCCAAUGUCCGAAUUUGGGGUGGUGAAAUGGAGGAAGCUUUGGUGGUGGAGGAAUAGGCUUAUGAUAGAUUGGUGGUUUUGGAUGAAGUGGAGGGAGAGGGAAGAUUGGUGGUUUUGGAGGAAGUGGAGGUAGAGGCUUAUAAACGACCGGUGGUUUUGGCUUGUAGAUUGGCACUGGAGGAGGCUUGUACACUGGAACCGGUGGUGGCUUUGGUUUUGGCUCAUAGACAGGAACUGGAGGAGGCUUGUACACUGGAACUGGUGGUGGCUUUGGUUUUGGCUCGUAGACAGGAACUGGAGGGGGCUUGUAAAUUGGAACUGGUGGUUUAGGUGGAAACGGUUUCUUGAAAGGAGGGCAUGGUUUCUUGGGUAUUGGUGGUGGCUUGUAGACUGGUACUGGUGGAGGGAGUGGCUUAGGAGGGAAAACUUUCGGUGGCGGCUUAUAGACUGGCACUGGUGGUUUAGGUGGAAGCGGUUUCUUGGGAGGGCAAGGUUUCUUGGGUAGUGGUGGUGGCUUGUAGAGCGGCACCGGUGGUGGCUUGUAGACUGGCACUGGUGGAGGGAGUGGCUUUGGAGGGAAAACUUUCGGUGGCGGCUUAUACACAGGCACUGGUGGAGGGAAAACUUUCGGUGGGGGCUUAUACACAGGCACUGGUGGAGGGAAAACUUUCGGUGGGGGCUUAUACACAGGCACUGGUGGAGGGAAAACUUUCGGUGGUGUUGGUGGCGGCUUGUAGACUGGCACUGAUGGCGGCUGGUAGACCACUUUGGGUGGAAGGGGAGGGAAAAGAUGUGGUGGAAGGGGAGGGAAAAGAU
RNAcentral lists this long non-coding RNA (830 nucleotides) under Jatropha curcas. RNAcentral's name for it is "long non-coding RNA (JCUR_LNC002578)". Lineage: Eukaryota; Viridiplantae; Streptophyta; Magnoliopsida; Malpighiales; Euphorbiaceae. The record is from RNAcentral.